UGGGGAAUAUUGCGCAAAUGGGGGGAACCCUGACGCAGCAACGCCGCGUGAAAGGAUGAAGGCUUUCGGGUUGNAAACUUCUUUGAUGAAGGGACGAAAGAAAUGACGGUACCUCAAAAACAAGCCACGGCUAACUACGUGCCAGCAGCCGCGGUAAUACGUAGGUGGCGAGCGUUGUCCGGAAUUACUGGGUGUAAAGGGCGUGUAGGCGGGGAUGCAAGUCAGAUGUGAAAUGCCGGGGCUUAACUCCGGAGCUGCAUCUGAAACUGUGUUUCUUGAGUGUCGGAGAGGAAAAGCGGAAUUCCCAGUGUAGCGGUGAAAUGCGUAGAUAUUGGGAGGAACACCAGUGGCGAAGGCGGCUUUCUGGACGAUAACUGACGCUGAGGCGCGAAAGCGUGGGGAGCAAAACAGGAUUAGAUACCCUGGUAGUCCACGCUGUAAACGAUGGAUACUAGGUGUAGGAGGUAUCGACCCCUUUCUGUGCCGGAGUUAACACAAUAAGUAUCCCACCUGGGGGAGUACGGCCGCAAGGUUG
RNAcentral lists this ribosomal RNA (535 nucleotides) under uncultured bacterium. RNAcentral describes it as "partial 16S ribosomal RNA". It matches the Rfam family "Bacterial small subunit ribosomal RNA", at positions 355 to 896 of the family's 1533-position model. The record is from RNAcentral.